AUAAGGAAUAUGCAUUUAAGGAACGUGUUCAGAGCAUACAACUAACUAGAACACUAAAAGAAUGAUAUAAAAUGGAAUGAAUAAAAGAAUGAGUCACACACCAAGAGGACUCGAAAAUGCCGAUGCGGAAGUGCCUUGAUUGUCGGGAUUGUACGCCUCGAUCCUAAAUCCUGAAGGGGGCGCAAAACAAACAUGAGUGGACCAAGUUGAUAUAUAUAUAAUAAAACAGUUAUCAAUAUACUAACCCCCAGGUUUAUGAAAACAAAUAUAUAAUGAUGAACAUAGGUUUUCCGAAACCUAGCAUGAUGUGCAGUAUCUCAAAUCAUAACUCAUAUAUAAUAAUCACUAGUGAAUUGUCCGAUAACCUGCAGGCCCCAUGCCGGCUCCCCGUCUCUGAGCAGACAGUCAGAGGAAAAUACACUUCAGGCCCCAUGCCGGCUCCCCCGUCCCUGUGCUAAAUAGCCAGAGGAAAACACACUCCAGGCCCUAUGCCAACACCAAACCGUCGCCCGGGACGGACCGGAAUCUAUCCCUACGUCCCGUAGCGGAAAGGACCACUAGGUAAGUACAAAACCAUUGAACAUACAUAUAUUGAAAAACAACUUCAUAGUAUAAAGUCAUCCAUCAUCUACUACUAUAAAGAGGUGUUCGAAACAUGUUCUAAAUAUCAUAUCGUCAUCCAUCAGAUAUUCUAUAAGAACACGGGUUAUAGGAAAAAUAGUAAUAAUUCAAGGUAACCUCAGUAAGCAUGUUAUCUCAAAACGUUUCAUAAAACGUAAUCAUUAAAUCAUGCAUUUCAUGUAUGCAUUUCUACUAUUAAAACAUGCUUUUGAAGGGGUCCACUCACAGUACUUAGCCGCCGAAGAGCCACGCAACUAACGUCACCAAUAUUGCCCCUA
This 899-nucleotide long non-coding RNA is filed under the name Malus domestica (apple). RNAcentral's name for it is "long non-coding RNA (MDOM_LNC001077)". The record is from RNAcentral. Lineage: Eukaryota; Viridiplantae; Streptophyta; Magnoliopsida; Rosales; Rosaceae.